This 209-nucleotide unclassified non-coding RNA is filed under the name Hevea brasiliensis (rubber tree). Lineage: Eukaryota; Viridiplantae; Streptophyta; Magnoliopsida; Malpighiales; Euphorbiaceae. The record is from RNAcentral.
GCACUGUUUACAAAGGAAUGCUAACAGAUGGAACUGUUGUAGCUGUGAAAAAAUCAGGAAAGAUGGAUCAAGAUCAAAGCCAAACUGUGCACUUCAUAAAUGAACUUGUGAUUCUUUCUCAGAUUAAUCACAAGCAUGUGGUCAAACUAUUAGGCUGUUGUUUAGAAACCCAAGUUCCUCUUAUAGUUUAUGAAUUUAUUUCCAACGGC